CCUCAUCAGGAAAGAGGAUCAAGACUGUGGGGAACAAGAGGAAGGAAUCAGAGUUGGAGCAGCUGAAGCUCCAACUAUGGAGGAAGAUGAUGAGGACGAUGAUUUUGAAGAUGAAGAAGAAGGAGAUGAGGAGAAGAGAUAGCAUCUACUGAUGGAUGUUAUCUGCACUAGAACAGGUUUUUCUAUCUUUUGGUUUUGUAAUUUGAAUUAUAUUUGCUUCUGUUUUAGUUUAGGAUUGAUGUACUUGGUUGGACACUAUAUCUGAUGCA
This 269-nucleotide long non-coding RNA is filed under the name Vigna radiata. RNAcentral describes it as "long non-coding RNA (VRAD_LNC016312)". The record is from RNAcentral. Lineage: Eukaryota; Viridiplantae; Streptophyta; Magnoliopsida; Fabales; Fabaceae.